GACGAGGAGUUAGAUUUUGGGCUCGACGGGAGGACGAUCUAGCUAGUCGGCAGUAGCGACCGUCACUCUGGUUAUAUUUCUUCCCGCAUUUAGUAGUUGUUAAUAAUAAAUGGUUCAGUUAGAUGUUUGAAUGUUUGUGAUUUCCGUUAUGCAUGAUUAGAGAUUUUGUGGAUCACUAGUUUUGGUUUUAUGGAUAUUCAGUUCUCGGAUUUGUGUAUUUAUACAUAUUUACGCAUCGUGGUUUUCUACCCCUAUAGGUAGUUGAUUUUUAAAAUAGAGUUUCCGUGUGGAAAACAGUUUUAAAAAGAUUUUCGAAUGGUUUCAUGAAUGAAUGAAUUAGAGUUUAAAAACAAAAGCUUCCGUGUGGGGAGCACUUUUAAAUAGGAUGUUUGUUGUAUUGUGCAUUGCAUCAUCCAGCGCCCAAGGAGUGCUUAGAGACAUGCAUCAUCUCUAAGAAUCGUUAGCUGUAUGAAAAUACAUAUCAUGAAUUGGUUGUUGAUUGGUAAUGUAGGUUGUGGUUGAGAUCCUGUUGUAUAGUUGGUACGCCGUGCAAAUAUAAAGGAGACUCUGUCCGAGUGGACAGAGGAACUUUGUAUUUGUGGCGGAUCUGUACAUCACGUGGGCCAAAAAAAAAAAAAAAUUUUGGCACGUCUUCCGCAGCUCUGUUUCAAAAUGGUAAUGAAUUAUAAAAAGGCUUUUAAAAUCGGUCCCGGGGCAUGACAUAUUAAGAUGGUAUCAGAGACUGAAACAACUACAACUACAUUUACAAGUUUUCUAACUGAACCACUGGUUAGGUUGACCCAUAAGAAGACCUAAGGCAUAUAGGCACGCGAGUGCGGUGCAUUGGGUUUGAGUCCCGGUGUGUUUGUAUGUCGAAUCGAUUGGUUCACUUGACGGUGUUUUCUGUUGCAGAUGGUUCGUGGUAGACCCCCUCGUCCGGGUCGUGGUGGUGGACGUGCUGGUGCGGAGACAUCCGGCAGUACUCGUGCUUCUCCAAGUGGGGGUGCUGGGGAGCAGUUGGGCACGGAGCCGCUGCGUAGUACUCGCACCCAGCAGCUCGAGGCCCAGGUAGCUGAUUUGAGGGGUCAGCUGACGACCCUCUCUGGUUUGUUUCGGCAGUUCUUGCAGCAGCAGGCUGCGGCUACUGCUACCUUAGUCCCACCUCCGGCACAGGACACUCCGGUGAACGCGGAUCCUCCCGCGACGCACGCGCCUGCCGUAGCUCCAGUCGUGACUACCACGACGGCAACGGCCACCACGACGGUUUCCGCUGGGGGUACUGAUACCCCUGCAACGGAAGGCGCCCGCAUUAGGGCAAGGCUGAAAGAGCGACAACGCCUGGGUGAUCGAGCAUUGGGUUACUCACAUGGAGAAACUGUUUCGUGAUCUACACAUCGAGGAGCUGGAUCGCGUCCCUCUAGCUACUCACUGUCUUGAGAGGGAUGCGUAUUCGUGGUGGAUCAGCCACUUCGAGCGCAAACUUAGGAGCAUCUAUCCAAGCUGGGAGGAGUUCUGGAGACUCCUUUACGAGCAGUACUUCAAGGAAAGCACUAAGCAGAGUCUGGAGUGCGAGCUAGAGCGUUUCAAGCAAGACAGUCGUACCGUAGCAGAGUAUAAGCGAGACUUCUCUCGUUUUAUUUCACUAAUUCCAUUCGUGGUUCGUGAUGAGUAUCACAAGGCUAGGCUGUUCGCAAGAGGGCUAAGGCCCAGAAUUCGACUUCUUAUCGCGUCCCAUGGCGCUUUGACGUUCGACGAGAGUCUGGAUCGGGCACUGAUGGUGCAGAAUGAUAUAGAUGAGGCUCAAAUCGAACAAGAUGCAUUCGAGAAGACUAAGGAUAGGAAGCGAGCACAGGAGAGUUUUCUUGGUGGUCAAUCGAGCAAUGGGCGACCACCCAAGCAUCGCAAGACGCAGUCCGGAUCGAGCAGUCCCCGGCUACAUCUCAAAGGCAAAGCACCCCACCUUGUGUCUUCUGUGGCAAGGCUCAUAGAGUUUAUGAGUGCCCAAAGCGCCACAAUCGUUGUUACAAGUGUGGCCAACGCGGACAUCUUAAGGCAGAUUGCACCAAUGGAGCAGGAUCAGAGUCUGCAGCAGCAUCUACUCCAGCAGCUCCAUGGCAGGAUCGUGGCAGUACGGCGCACCCUUCGUCUGGACGUCCAUCGUUAUCCUGUCAAGUAAAGGAGGUACACCAGACAACUGACAGACGCGCCUACAUGAUGACACGUCAGGAAGAUGAUCAGUUGGCUGACGUGGUCGCAGGUAUAAUUUUGUUUAUCGUAGUAAACAGCAUGUUUUUCGUUUUAAUGCAUCUCCUCCUGGCAUUGCAUGCAUGUAUUGUUCUAGUUCGUUGUGUAUCGGAUCACCCCUGCCUGUGAGCAAGUUUCGGGGAUGAAACUUUCUUUAAGGGGGGGAUGAUGAAAGGACCGAGAUUUUGGCAGUGUAGCUAAACUCUCAGUCGACAAUGUUUUUGUGUGUAAUUUAAUUACAAAAGCACUCGUCAUGUUUCGGGAGAAAACGAGUUAGAACGGAGAUUCUACGCGAUUUCCAAGUUUCACGUAAAGUGAAUAGUAACUUGGUUUUCCGGAGAGCUCAAUGCGUAGAGUUGGCUUCUGGCUCGUACCGGACUCCGUUCAUAGCAGUCCAAUAGCUCGUUUCGACCGGUUCAACUGUUCUGUAACUAAUGGCGCUGACGGAUUUUGAGUUUGAUGCACGGAUUUCGAGAAAAUCCGAAAAUAUGUGUUUUAUAUGUAUUUGUGCGUAGUUCUUCUGUUGGAGAGAUGGAUCGGAUUUCAUCGUAAAUCCGCGACCGAUCGAGGUGAAACGAAAUCGUAGCUUUGUUGUCUCUGUCGUGCUGAUCGCACUGGUGCGAUCCGUUCGCAAAUCUGACCGACGGAUUUGCGGAGAUCGUCAGUUGUUCGAGGAGAGGUCGGUGAUGGCAAAACGGUAUUUCCGCAAAAGUUGCGACAUUUAUGUACCGUUUCCCGUGAAACUGGACGUGGAGGGGUACUCGCGUGUUUUACAUGCGCUGUGGAGGACUCAAUAUAAAAUAUCGAGUUUUGGGAGGGCUUUUCCGCAACUGGAGCCUUUAUAUAUAUUUAGCUCCUAGGAUUUUUGAUCCACCUAACCCUAACCCUAGCCCGAGCAAACCCCUCAGCCGUCUCCCUUGGUUGCCCUGCCCUUGUUGCGCCCCUCCCGGCCGCCGCCAACCGAGCCCCGGCCGGCAGCCAGCACCUCAGCCUCCAUCUUCCACAUCACUGUAGCUCUCUCUCUCCCUCUCUUCCUCACCUCUCGGGUUAAAGGAAGCCCGCGGUUGAUCUCCUCUCCGGCAUCACCCCCGCAGCCUCGGCAACCUCCCCCGCCGCCUGUCGCCAUCGCCUAGUGCCGCCGCUGCCGCCCAGGCUGGUUGCUGCCGCCUAGGACAGGGCUUGGCCGAGCUAAGUUCCAGAAGUAGCCCGCGCGCCGCCGUCACCUGAGACCGCUUCCGUCGCCCUUCCCGGACCCUCGGCAUCCCUUCCCACCGGUCACCACCGCCUCUGUGGGCCGCCGCCGCCUCUGUCAACCGCUGCAGCCCAGAUCUGCUCGGGCAGAGCCGAGUUUAGCUGUUAGCCUCGCACCGCCACCCUCGCGCCGCCGCUGCCCGAAGCCACCUCCUCGGCUUCCCUCCGGCCUCCUGCAACCCUCUGCCGCCGUCCCUGAGUGUCCCGGCCGCCGCCGUCGCCGCAGUUGCCCGUGGAACCCGAGCCCUAGCUAGUGCGGGCUCGAUUUGCUCCGCCGUCGCCACCGCCGCUCUCCGCCGCCAACCGAGGUGAGCACCAUACUCCUCACCUCCCCCGUACCCAUCCCUGGCCCCCGUGCGUGCCGUCGUGCCACCGGAAGCCAGCCGGAGCAAGCUUGCUCCGGCCGAGCCUGAAAUAGGGCUUAGUUGAGUAGGUUUAUUGUUCUGAUCUUCUCGAGGCCUCUCGAUCAAUACGGAAGGGAGCACGAUGAUUGUGACUCAUUGCUGAUCAUCGUGCUCACCUUAGUUUCUGUCGGGGAGACUCCUUUCCGCUGUUUCGACGGUGUCGCUCCGUUAGAGCUUCUUGGCUGCUGUUUCAGGAUUAUACGCAUUUUUACGGCGACCCGAGGCUGUUCCGAUGCCUCUGGAGGUGAGCACGGUGAUAGUGGAUCAGUACUGAUCACAGUGCUCACCUUAUUUUGGAUCAACGGAUGUCGUAUCGUUCUGUUUAGUGCGUUUUUCCCCGACUGCGCGCUAUUCGCAGAAUUUUCGGGUUGCUCCCGCACUUCCCACAAUGAGCUUUUGUGCUCCAGGCCAUGAGCACGGCCUCCGGCACGUCGAGACCUGUCAGUACUGUCUCGGCGGAACUUAUAAGUCCUCGGUUUGUGAGAACGAGCCAUAGAAGUCGCCCGAUUUACAUAAAAUAAUGGAUUUUAUGUAAACAUAGGGACUUUUAUGCAUUUGUACACCUUGAGGCUACUGUGGGCAGUGCGUUGGUGUGUGUGGUGACCUUCGGACUGAUUGUCCAUGAUCUGAUAGCUUUUGCGAAAAUCGAAAAGUCGAUUCCGGCGUAUUUUUUGGCGAAAUUCGCCGAAAGAACGCGGUUUCGGUUCGGAUUUCUUCCGACGUGGUUUGGUUAUCCCGUAAAUUAUCGCUGAACCUUGUUGGCUGGUCACCAUCAUCAUUUUGUGGGUUCGAUGAUGAUGGGUAAGCGACGGUGGGUUCCGGUGUCGAAAUAGACACUUUCGUGAACCCGAAUACGUACAAUUAUCUGGCGAUAAUUGUGUAGUGGGUUAUCUUGUGUUUGCUGCCAAAACAUCCAAAUCGGAGUGUUUUGGGGCAGCAGGUGACUCGUGACACGAGUCGGUGAGUUUCGGGACACUUAGUGGGUCCCGACGGCGUUCCGGUGUGGUUUUCGGGACUUCCGGUGAGUUACGGUGAUCGGUUUUGGAAAACCGAUUACGGGGAUCUUGUGUGGGGGGUUUGUGAGUUUCGUGCUUUGGGUUAGUGGUUUGGAUACUGACCUGGUGGAUCUUCUUAGGUCCGGUAGACGCUGUGCGUACCCAGUGUUCCGACGCGAUAGUGACAAGUGGGUGCUUCGAGUUGGUAGUCGGUGAGAUCGUUUCACCCUUCCUCUGUUCUUUCAUAUCAGUAUCGUAGUCUCUACAUGUCAGCUGAUUGUUUAUCGUUUGUUUAUCGUAUCUCAUUGAUUACAUUUGGAUAGUUGUGGAUAGACAUGUGGAGCAGGUUGCAUAUAUAUUGUAUCUCUGUGGACCUUGGGUCCAGGCAACACAUCGACUCCUUCGUCGUGUGUUUCGAUCUGGUUGAUCGUAGUUCGGCGUUGUACACCCUUGCACCUGGCUUCGGCCAUGGCACCGGUCUCUUUUUGCGGGUUUUCAUUUUGAGCAUAUCAGCAUGAUUUAGUCACAGCACUGUAUAUUCUAGACACCAGGUUGGUUUGGCCACCAACCAAGGGGUAUACGUAUCCAGAUAGGUCGUCGGUGAUGCUUGAAUAAGUUGGCAGUGUCUGCUCUGUGAUAGGUAACGCUUGAGGUCUGCGGACCAAUAUAGCAGCAUCAGAUUGGGUUUGGUUUGGACUAUUUACCCUUGAGGCAUCCGAUCAGUUGAGUUUUUGCUUACAAUAGUAGUUUCGUUCUUGCUCAGUUAUUAUCCUGUUUCUAUUACUACUGUAGUUGCUCUUAUAUCACAUCAUGCUCAUAUCUGUAGUUCUGUUUCAUAUCAGCAUAUACAUUUAUUUAUCUAUCUCCUUUGGUUUCCGGUGAUUACGGCUUGCCUUCGUGGCUUUGUCGUACCCACUGAGAAACCAUGAUUGCGGUUUCUCACCCCCCUUUCCCCCCAAGGUGACUUGGACGAGGAGUUAGAUUUUGGGCUCGACGGGAGGAUGAUCUAGCUAGUCGGCAGUAGCGACCGUCACCCUGGUUAUAUUUCUUCCCGCAUUUAGUAGUUGUUAAUAAUAAAUGGUUCAGUUAGAUAUUUGAAUGUUUGUGAUUUCCGUUAUCCAUGAUUAGAGAUUUUGUGGAUCACUGGUUUUGGUUUUAUGGAUAUUCAGUUCUCAGAUUUGUGUAUUUAUACAUAUUUACGCAUCGUGGUUUUCUACCCCUCGAGGUAGUUGAUUUUCAAAAUAGAGUUUCCGUGUGGAAAACAGUUUUAAAAAGGUUUUCGAAUGGUUUUCAUGAAUGAAUGAAUUAGAGUUUAAAAAUAAAAGCUUCCGUGUGGGGAGCACUUUUAAAUAGGAUAUUUGUUGUAUUGUGCAUUGCAUCAUCCAGCGCCUAAGGAGUGCUUAGAGGCAUGCAUCAUCUCUAAGGAUCGUUAGCUGUA
RNAcentral lists this long non-coding RNA (6332 nucleotides) under Ananas comosus (pineapple). RNAcentral describes it as "long non-coding RNA (ACOM_LNC044279)". Lineage: Eukaryota; Viridiplantae; Streptophyta; Magnoliopsida; Poales; Bromeliaceae. The record is from RNAcentral.